GCGUUAUCAUGGUGGCUGAUUUUCUCCCCACUUGCUGCUAACGUCAAGGCUAGUUGUAUGUGUUAUAUUAUACUGCUGAUUUUGUUGUCAAAAUUAAAUUAAUAACGCUGAUAUAUCCUGUAUAUACAAUACAAUACUGGAAGUAUUUGCUACCAAUGCUAGUAUUUCGGUACCAGAGUGACUGUUGAGACUGUGAAAUCCAACUCGAUGUGAAACGGAUUGGUUGGACUGGAAUGGAGUACCAGGGCUCCAAGCGAGGGCGGCGCUUGGCUUUUUGCUCUUGCUUCAUGCUGACUGAGAUGGGGCAUCAGAAGACCAACUAAGACAAUGUACAAAAACCACUAAAGAUGGGUGAAGUGACUCGAGAUGUGGAUGAUUUGGCAAAGCAAGCCUCCCUUCCAGAACCGCUACUCAUCAUACUGGCACCGCCUCCACCUUUCCUACCAUUGGCUGAUGAUCCGACCACUUUUUGGCACAAGUGGCUCAAAGCUUUUGAGCACUACCUCAAAGCGCUCGGAGAAGAGGAGCUGACCGACUCCAGUAAGUGUGCACUCCUACAAAACUGUCUCGGCCAAGAGGGCCAGCACAUCUUCACAGCGCUGGUCCCACGGGAAACCACCUAUGCGGCUGCCAUCUCAGCGCUGACUGCCUACUUCAGCGGCGACCACACCUCUCAGGGCAGCUUGCUUCAAUUCAAUCAAAGAGCCCAGACAGCUGGAGAGAACUCGGAGCAGUUUGUGUCCGCCUUGGAGGCUCUGCUGGCACCCUGUAACUGCGGAGCCUCACAAGAUAAGCUGAUCCUCAGUCAGCUGAUUGAAAAAACAAAGUGGCCACAGCUCAGAGAGCGGCUUUGCUCGCAAAGGGAAACACUGACGUUGGCCACAGCUUUGCAGAUCGCUAAAGAGGUGGAAUCUGCUUUAAAUUUGCAUGAAGAGUGUCCCCAGGCCAGUGUGGACAUUGAUAAUGAUGAUAGUGUGCAGCCUCUGGUCCAACGACCUAAAAGAGGACAGCCUCAACGAAAGGAACAACUUGAAACGGAAUCCCAAAAAUCUAAAGUAAACUUUGAGUGUGAUAAUAAAGACGAUAGUAGCUCUUCAUCACCUCGCAUGAAGCAAGAGGAAAGCUCGGAUGAACCAAGCAGCGAUGGAGAAUUGGCUGUCCAAAAUCGUCCUUCCUGUCCUGUGUGUGUAGAUAGACACUUUGUUAACAUGCACAAGCUUGCCCGACACAUGAGGUCGCACACAAAAGAGAAACCCUACCGCUGCCCCCUUUGCGCCACGCUCUUCAGCCAAACGUAUCACUUGACCCGACACAUGCGAGUCCAGCACAACGCCGCCCAGCACGUGUGUGCCAUGUGCUGCAACAGCUUUGAGAGUGCAGAAGAAUUAAAGAGCCACAAGAAGACGCACGUCUCUCAGCAGGUCUUGCUAUGUCCCUACUGUCCCAAAAGGUUGCAGAGUGACAACUUGUUUUUAAGUCACAUCACAUCCCACAAAGAGUACAAGCAGGAAGGAGACCAAUCAAUAGAAGCCAAAAUAGUGGACUUAUCUAACAAGGAUGUUGAGGAUGAAACAGGUAGAAAUAGGGAGUCAGACGUCCAUGUUAAGACUGAGAUUACGACGAUUCCUCUUGUUGGUGCAAGGAGGAAAGCAAGCAGCACCUGCAAGAAGAAUUAUGUGUGUCCAGUAUGCAACUACAGCUUCAGCCGGGCUGACAAGCUUGCCCGACACACGCGGACCCACACCAAGGAGAAACCCUUUCGGUGCCCCGUUUGCUCACUCACCUUCAGCCAGUCGUACCACAUGACCCGGCACCAGAGGCAGAAGCAUGGUCUGCGGCAGUAUGUCUGCCCCAAGUGUGGCAAGACUCUGGGCACCUGGCUGGAGCUGAAAGAGCACCGGAGGACUCAUACGGCUAAAGAGCUGAUGUGUCCCGCCUGCAAGAAGAACUUCAAGGAUAAGGACUGCCUGGAGAGUCAUCUCAAGUCCCAUGAGAAGAUCCCAUCUGAUCCUCACUCGCUUAUCUGCAGUGACUGUGGGAAAGUAUUUGGGCGGACCUACCACUUAAAGAGACACAUUGUGGCACAUCGCAAGGCUGCAAACGGCGAAUGCUACACCUGCGCCGAGUGUCACAAGAGCUACGCCUUUGCAGAGGACCUUAAAAAACACCUGAGGAAGCACGCUAAAGAAAACCACGGAAUGUGUCCGAGAUGCGACCAGAACUUUGGCAGUCGAGAGGAGCUGGAGGCACACAUGGCAGCUCAUAAAACAAGCUACCUGUGUAGCGUCUGCGGGAAGAAGUUCAAGGUUGAGCAUGCCCUAAAGAAACAUGAGCAGAAGCACCAAGAGCAACACUACUAUUGUGCUUUGUGCCAUAAGCAUUUCAACAAACUGUCGCUCUACAAGCGGCACGAGGCGGUGCACGACAGGCGUGAGUGCAAAUGUCCGCACUGUGACUGCGUCUUCCUCAAGCUUACAGCCUUGAAGUAUCACCUACAGACUCACACUGAGGAGAGACCUUACCAGUGUUCCUGCUGCGUGGAGACCUUUGAGGACAAAGAGGGCCUAGAACGCCACUGCCUCAAGCACAGGAAGUUUCGGAAGGAGCGGCCGUACAACUGCACCCGCUGUGACCACGCCUUCACCACUCUGGCCGAGCUCACAGCACACAUGAGCGACCAUGAUGGCCAGCCACCGCUCAGCUGUGACAUCUGCGGCCGCACCUUCCUCAACAGCAACAAGCUAGAGAAGCACUUGAGCAUCCACACGGGUGAGCGGCCUCACCUGUGCUCACACUGCGGCAGCGGCUUCCCGUCGGCCGCCGGCCUCAAGCAGCACAUUCACAUCCACACCGGCGAAAAGCCCUUUGCAUGUUCGCAGUGCACCAAAUCCUUCCGCUCGUCCAGUGGGCUGCGGCUGCACAGCAGGAGGCACAUGGACACUCCGCCCAGCUUUGAGUGUCCUGACUGUGGUAGGACUUACGGACGCAUGACCGAGCUGAAGAUGCACCAAAGGUACCACACAGGAGACAGGCCUUACUCCUGCAUGUACUGCAGUAAAAACUUUGUCAGUAAACACAAGCUGAUGGUCCACGUUCGUGUCCACACGGGCGAGAGGCCGUACUCGUGUCCCCACUGUGGACAGACCUUUACACAGACUGGAGACAGAAACAGACACAUCAAUAAGUUCCACACAUGAGACAUUAGGACCAGGGGCCUCACCUAUAAAGCUUGCGUACGCACAAAACAGGAGCGAAAAGUUGCGUAUACAUUUUUCCACGCCAAGUAUUUUACCUAUUAAAACACAAACUGGUGUGAGAAUGUGUGCAUUGGUACGCACCCUUUAUAGCUGGCGUACACACUUUUUGGAGACAUGGCAAAAAGGGGAUGCACAUUUUAAGUUGUGAAGUUAAAUUAUAUGUUAGAAAUAAACAUGCAAUGGAGGCCAAUAAAGAUUUAGCCAUUACUGCAUGAAAACAUCACACCAAUAUUGACUUCAAACAUUUGUGGAAAGUGUUGUUAUUUGACAUUACACUGAUGGACAUCAUUUGUCAUUUAUCAUAAACACCAUUACGCACGAGCAUGUAGUAUCUGAAUUAAAAGAUAUAUGAAAAACACAACCGAGCACAAUGAUGAAUACUUCAUUUUAUUUUGUAAUUAUAAUUUGGAUUUUAUAAUUUUAUAUCAUUUUAUUUUAUAAUUAUGAUAUGUGUUUGAUUAAUAUUAGUUAUAACAAACAGGUUGUCAAAUAAUUUUAGGGUUCAAGUUUACAAGACACAGAGCUAAUAUGUCCUUUGAGCGCCGUUUCUCGCUUUUCUUUGGACAGUUCAUCAAAAAAUAAACAGUUUUUUGUUGCAUAUGUCAAGUAUGUCAUCAGUAGCAACAUGUAUUUACCAUGGACGGCCCUUAUUUGUGUGUACAGUGUCAGGGCCGUGUGCAUAAACGUACUCUUUCCUUUUCCACAAAUGAUGGGUUUUUCUUUUGUUGUGCUUUGUUGUUCCUCAUAAAAUAAUUGGAAUAUACUUAAUACGUCUGUGUAGGCUCUCAGUCUUACAGGAGUUGUCCAUCGAGGGAAAGGCUUCUUGAGACGUCAUCUGUACUUCUGUGAAGAAGGUGUCGGACGCUUCGUCAGCGAACUCGCUGACGAAGCUCUUUGGAUGAGGAGUGAAACGUCUGACACCUUGAGGGUAUCUCAGUCCAACGCAGAGGCAAAGGCAAGCCAAAAAGUACUACCUGUUUAACGGACUGCCUUUCACAUCUUUGAUAAUAGAACAAGCAGUAAAAUGUUUUAUCAAAGUGAACAAACAAGGCUGUAAAGGUUGUGGCCGCAUAGCUCACUGUUGUGACACAAAAAUGAUUUCAAGAGUGGCGCACAAAAAGAAUUUACACAAUCGUUUGUGUCAUUCUACUUCGGGUCCAUUGUUUUACGAUUUGUCUGUUUUUACUUCUCUGUACAGACAAAUCAUUGUGGUCCUUGAACAUGAAAAAGAGUGAUGUUAUUAUCUCUGUAAUAGUAAGCUGUAAAUACUCCAACCACCCAAUAUAAUUGUAUAAUUGGACCUUGCUUUUAUUGCUUUUGUUAUGGUCAUGGUUUCAGUUGACUCAUUUUCAUGUCUCGUCAACAGACUACACUUACCUGGCUUCUGUAAACACUGAUACAAGUGCCAUCAAAUGGACUGUUAUUGAAAUCUGAGGAUUAUGAGAGAAAAAACAGGCCCCACUCUAUUUGAAUGAACACGGUCACUGCAAGUGGCAUUGAGUCCAGCAGAGGGCAGCACGCACCUUUGGUGUUCUUCUCGACCGCAGUGUUCAACUCCAGC
Molecule: RNA transcript, 4818 nt
Organism: Dunckerocampus dactyliophorus (ringed pipefish)
Lineage: Eukaryota; Metazoa; Chordata; Actinopteri; Syngnathiformes; Syngnathidae
Gene name: zinc finger protein 271-like
Exons: 4
Source: RefSeq, a predicted model, not a curated record